AGAGUUUGAUCAUGGCUCAGAUUGAACGCUGGCGGCAUGCUUUACACAUGCAAGUCGAACGGUAACAGGCCGCAAGGUGCUGACGAGUGGCGAACGGGUGAGUAAUGCAUCGGAACGUGCCCAGUCGUGGGGGAUAACGCAGCGAAAGCUGCGCUAAUACCGCAUACGAUCUAUGGAUGAAAGCGGGGGACCGUAAGGCCUCGCGCGAUUGGAGCGGCCGAUGUCAGAUUAGGUAGUUGGUGGGGUAAAGGCUCACCAAGCCGACGAUCUGUAGCUGGUCUGAGAGGACGACCAGCCACACUGGGACUGAGACACGGCCCAGACUCCUACGGGAGGCAGCAGUGGGGAAUUUUGGACAAUGGGCGCAAGCCUGAUCCAGCAAUGCCGCGUGCAGGAAGAAGGCCUUCGGGUUGUAAACUGCUUUUGUACGGAACGAAACGGUCCUGGUUAAUACCCGGGGCUAAUGACGGUACCGUAAGAAUAAGCACCGGCUAACUACGUGCCAGCAGCCGCGGUAAUACGUAGGGUGCGAGCGUUAAUCGGAAUUACUGGGCGUAAAGCGUGCGCAGGCGGUCUUGUAAGACAGGCGUGAAAUCCCCGGGCUCAACCUGGGAAUUGCGCUUGUGACUGCAAGGCUGGAGUGCGGCAGAGGGGGAUGGAAUUCCGCGUGUAGCAGUGAAAUGCGUAGAUAUGCGGAGGAACACCGAUGGCGAA
This 714-nucleotide ribosomal RNA is filed under the name aquatic bacterium R1-B11. Its description in RNAcentral is "bacterial SSU rRNA". It matches the Rfam family "Bacterial small subunit ribosomal RNA", at positions 8 to 719 of the family's 1533-position model. The record is from RNAcentral.